CACGUAGGCGGCCUGUUAAGUGUGGAGUGAAAUCCCACGGCUCACCUGUGGAACUGCUUCGCAUACUGGCAAGCUCGAGGACGGUAGGGGAGAGCGGAACUCUUGGUGGAGCGGUGAAAUGCGUAGAUAUCAAGAGGAACACCGAUGGCGAAGGCAGCUCUCUGGUCCGUUUCUGACGCUGAGGUGCGAAAGCUAGGGUAGCGAACG
Molecule: ribosomal RNA, 207 nt
Filed under: uncultured bacterium
Lineage: Bacteria
Description: partial 16S ribosomal RNA
Rfam family: Bacterial small subunit ribosomal RNA
Source: RNAcentral